CGUGAGAAUCUGGCUUCAGGUUCGGGACAACCACUGGAAACGGUGGCUAAUACCGGAUGUGCCUAAUGGUAAAAGGUUUACCGCCUGAAGAUGAGCUCGCGUCUGAUUAGCUAGUUGGUGUGGUAAGAGCGCACCAAGGCGACGAUCAGUAGCUGGUCUGAGAGGAUGAUCAGCCACACUGGGACUGAGACACGGCCCAGACUCCUACGGGAGGCAGCAGUGGGGAAUUUUCCGCAAUGGGCGAAAGCCUGACGGAGCAAGACCGCGUGAGGGAGGAAGGCUCCUGGGUCGUAAACCUCUUUUCUGUGGGAAUAAGAAAGUGAAGGUACCAUAGGAAUCAGCAUCGGCUAACUCCGUGCCAGCAGCCGCGGUAAUACGGAGGAUGCAAGCGUUAUCCGGAAUGAUUGGGCGUAAAGAGUCCGUAGGUGGUUAUUCAAGUCGAUUGUUAAAGAGCGGGGCUUAACCCCGUAGAAGCAGUGGAAACUGAAUAACUAGAGAGAGGUAGGGGUAGAGGGAAUUCCCGGUGUAGCGGUGAAAUGCGUAGAGAUCGGGAAGAACACCAGUGGCGAAAGCGCUCUACUGGACCUCAUCUGACACUGAGGGACGAAAGCUAGGGGAGCGAAAGGGAUUAGAUAC
This 636-nucleotide ribosomal RNA is filed under the name uncultured cyanobacterium. Its description in RNAcentral is "bacterial SSU rRNA". It matches the Rfam family "Bacterial small subunit ribosomal RNA", at positions 116 to 785 of the family's 1533-position model. The record is from RNAcentral. Lineage: Bacteria; Bacillati; Cyanobacteriota.